AACGAACGCUGGCGGCAGGCUUAACACAUGCAAGUCGAACGAAGGCCCCUCUUCGGAGGGUGUCCUUAGUGGCGGACGGGUGAGUAACGCGUGGGAAUUUGCCUAUCGGUACGGAACAACCAAGGGAAACUUUGGCUAAUACCGUAUACGCCCUACGGGGGAAAGAUUUAUCGCCGAUAGAGAAGCCCGCGUCGGAUUAGCUAGUUGGUAGGGUAACGGCCUACCAAGGCGACGAUCCGUAGCUGGUCUGAGAGGAUGACCAGCCACACUGGGACUGAGACACGGCCCAGACUCCUACGGGAGGCAGCAGUGGGGAAUAUUGGACAAUGGGGGCAACCCUGAUCCAGCCAUGCCGCGUGAGUGAUGAAGGCCUUAGGGUUGUAAAGCUCUUUCAGCGGGGAAGAUGAUGACGGUACCCGCAGAAGAAGCCCCGGCUAACUCCGUGC
Molecule: ribosomal RNA, 446 nt
Filed under: uncultured bacterium
Lineage: Bacteria
Description: bacterial SSU rRNA
Rfam family: Bacterial small subunit ribosomal RNA
Source: RNAcentral